Molecule: long non-coding RNA, 210 nt
Filed under: Mytilus galloprovincialis (Mediterranean mussel)
Lineage: Eukaryota; Metazoa; Mollusca; Bivalvia; Mytilida; Mytilidae
Source: RNAcentral
CAUUGGGCAAUUAUCUGUGACAACGUACCACAGUUAUUCUAAACACGUGGAAAUAUCUGCUGAAUCAAAAAUUUAACUUGAGGGAACGACAAGCAAAGAAAAGGAACUCGUCUGAUACCUAGCAAGCUACUAUGAUAUGAAGUAAAACGAAACCAUGGGAUGAACAGAUAAAGAAUAAAAUAUGAACACAUAAACUGAAACGGCUGCCGG